GCAUCGGAUAGUGUUAUGUCCAAACAUAACAGGGUGAAACAUUAUUGUUGGCAAGAUGACAACUUUGUUGAGCAUGAUAUGACCCACUAUUGUUCUGACACCAGCUUGGGACAUAAUUUUGAUAUGUUCAAUUGAUAAUUUGUCUUUGUAUUCUGUGUUUUCUGGUCAGGUGUUCAGUGAGAAAAAAAUUGGAUGUUAUUGUCAAGAUGGGUUGUAAAACAAUUAUUAUGGGUUGUAAUACAAUGAAUAGGAUGGCUUGAAUGUGUCGAUCAUUACUUAAAAUGUGUCGACCUUAAGAACUAUAUUAUUGACACAAUGGCCUCACCGUCGACCACUACAUUCAUGGCAUGUCCAAAAAGGAGAGCUCAAUUGGAAAGGGCUCUUCUACUAAAAGAUGUCAUAUAUUUCAGAUCUUCCAGAGGUAUAUUUUGUUUUCGUGUUCGUCUUAAUACUAAGUAAAAUGAUAUGCUUCAUAACAAACUUCCACAACUUUAUUCAGGUCACAAAUUUUGAAGAGCGGGAUGAAAUUCCGUAUAAAAUAACUCCUGAUCACCAGACAAAGUUUCAGAAAUACAUAAGAGCAAGCAAAGAGGGUGAGAUCAUUUGACCUUUUACAAUUUAUUUAAUGAAAAUAAUGUGCAUUGCCUUAUUUGAUUGUCAUGCACUAUGCAGAGUUAGAGGGUAUUAGGGCAUCUCUAAUGGUUGGGCAAAUUUGAUGGUCCACGUAUACACAUUUGAUGAUAGUUUGAUGAAAAUUUUGCUUUGAAAAUGUGCUCCAUCUAAUGGUUCAUCAACUAAAGCGGCUAAUGGAUGACCGCUUCACUAAAGCGGGCCCCCAACACCCACUUCACUUAGUUAAAGCGGCUAAUGGAUGACCGCUUCACUAAAGCGGGCCCCCAACACCCGCUUCACUUAGUUAAUGGGGCUGUCCAAGUGCCACUUAGUUAAAGCGGGCUUUGAAGUGCCAAUUUAAGCGGCACUUCAUUAGCCGCUUUAAGUGAAGCGGUCUUCUCUUGCCCGCCUCACCCAGUAUCAAACCUUAAGCUUUUCAUCAAAAUUUCAUCAAAUUUGAUGAACUUUUGAUGAUUUUUGCUAAAAUAUCAAAUUUGAAAAACUUUUGAUGGUCCAUUAGAUGGAGUUUUUUUCACUUUUUCAUCAAAUUUGAAUUUGAUGAUAGAUUUGAAGAACCAUUAGAGAUGCCCUUAGUGACCUGAUAUCAUCUUUAAAAUUCCAUUAUAACGUUGAAAAUGUAUAGGCCAUUUGGGAGAUUGUGGUGGUAUGAAACCGUAUCAACAGCUCUUACCAAAGCAGAGCCCCACAAUCAUGUACGUUUAAUUUAUAUCGUCUUGUGAGUGGUAUUUAACUGUUUAAAUUCAUUUCAUGGACUCACAUUCAAGUUUAAUGUCGAUGUUUUAGGCACAUUUGCAUCCUCAGCAAGACAGGGUGUUAACCGUAAGGGAAAUGGCACGUUUACAAGGAUUUCCUGAUUAUUAUAGACUUUUUGGGGAUAUCAAAGAAAGGUAAAAAAAAAAAAAAAAAAAAAAACCCUUCUGCAAGAAUUAGAGAUUGAUUAUGUUUAAUAUUGAUUGACCUUGAAAAUAUAUGUUUUAUAGAUAUAAACAAGUUGGUAAUGCUGUUGCCUUUCCUGUUGCUCGUGCGUUAGGAUAUGCCUUGGGUAUAGCACACCAAGGUCUUUGUAAUGAUCAGCCAUUGUUUACCCUCCCCAAGAAAUUUUCUCUUUUGAUUACAGAGCGAUCAUCAUUGUCGGAAGAUUCAGAUUGUUUAGCGUGAGCUCUUUUCACCGUCCUAAAAGUUCCUGGCAAGCAGGUUUCCUAUCUCAUUCUAAUACUUCGUUUUUUACUGGUUUAUUGCAGUUCUACUAGCUAGCAUGCCCACAAUGUAGCAGC
This 1907-nucleotide long non-coding RNA is filed under the name Aquilegia coerulea. Its description in RNAcentral is "long non-coding RNA (ACOE_LNC001518)". The record is from RNAcentral. Lineage: Eukaryota; Viridiplantae; Streptophyta; Magnoliopsida; Ranunculales; Ranunculaceae.